GCUGAUGCGUUGUUGGGUAGGGGAGCGUUCUGUAAGCCUGUGAAGGUGGCCUGUGAGGGUUGCUGGAGGUAUCAGAAGUGCGAAUGCUGACAUAAGUAACGAUAAAGCGGGUGAAAAGCCCGCUCGCCGGAAGACCAAGGGUUCCUGUCCAACGUUAAUCGGGGCAGGGUGAGUCGACCCCUAAGGCGAGGCCGAAAGGCGUAGUCGAUGGGAAACGGGUUAAUAUUCCCGUACUUGGUGUUACUGCGAAGGGGGGACGGAGAAGGCUAUGUUGGCCGGGCGACGGUUGUCCCGGUUUAAGCGUGUAGGUGUGUGUUCCAGGUAAAUCCGGUUCACUUUAACACUGAGGCGUGAUGACGAGGCACUACGGUGCUGAAGCAACAAAUGCCCUGCUUCCAGGAAAAGCCUCUAAGCAUCAGGUAACAUCAAAUCGUACCCCAAACCGACACAGGUGGUCAGGUAGAGAAUACCAAGGCGCUUGAGAGAACUCGGGUGAAGGAACUAGGCAAAAUGGUGCCGUAACU
Molecule: ribosomal RNA, 524 nt
Filed under: Salmonella enterica subsp. enterica serovar Derby
Lineage: Bacteria; Pseudomonadati; Pseudomonadota; Gammaproteobacteria; Enterobacterales; Enterobacteriaceae
Also listed under: 3 other names
Description: partial 23S ribosomal RNA
Rfam family: Bacterial large subunit ribosomal RNA
Source: RNAcentral